Molecule: ribosomal RNA, 253 nt
Filed under: uncultured bacterium
Lineage: Bacteria
Description: partial 16S ribosomal RNA
Rfam family: Bacterial small subunit ribosomal RNA
Source: RNAcentral
UACGGAGGGUGCGAGCGUUGUCCGGAAUCACUGGGCGUAAAGGGCGCGUAGGCGGCCUGAUAAGUAGGGGGUGAAAUCCUGCGGCUUAACCGCAGGGCUGCCUUCUAAACUGUCAGGCUUGAGCACAGUAGAGGCAGGUGGAAUUCCCGGUGUAGCGGUGGAAUGCGUAGAUAUCGGGAGGAACACCAGUGGCGAAGGCGGCUCUCUGGGCUCUACCUGACGCUGAGACGCGAAAGCGUGGGGAGCGAACCGG